AUUCGGGAUUCAGCCAUUCCUAAAUCCCAAUUUCCAAUUUCCCUCUUCUAGGCUUCCCUCUUCUCUAUCCUCUUCCCUCCUCAGCUCUUCCUUUCCCAAGUUUGCAGUUCGCAAGUCGCAACUUUACCGGCAACCGGCACUCCCUGAUUCCCUAUCCCAAUCCCCUUCAGCUUCACCUUCCCUUCCCAGCUCCCUUCCCACUUCGCAAUUUGCACACAGUUGGCAAUGACGAGUUUGAACCUCCUGUUCCAGAUCAGCAGAUCCAGUCUUCCCCUUCUGACUUUGGCUUCCUCCUUCCCAACUUCUCAACUCACAGUACUCCUUUGGGCCUGCCUUCCUUCAGGUGUCAGAUAAUCACCAAGCUUUAUAUAUGAAAAGGGUUUAACCGAGAGCAUUUGUGCCGGUUAACACCAUUGUCUGACAAAAAGAAAGAAUGUAUGAAAGAUUGCAUGACUGCGAUUGUGAAACUACUGGAAUUGCACAGGUUGUUAUGUUUUAUUGUAAAUUAUAUAUAUGAUUGGGACCACAGCUUGUUACUAAAGGAGUUGAAAGACACUCUAAAGGAGUUGAAAGGCACUCCAAGUUAUCUAAAGCUUUAAAUGGAUUGAGGUGCAGUUCCAUUGUUAACUGAGGUACAAUGCAACCACAUAUGUGAAUCAGUGUGGCUAUCGAGAUAGUCGGCUUGCAAGAGUGUAUGGGGCCACUGGUGAAAUAAUAGACCGAGUGGGGCAGCCAGACUAUAUCUGUGAUGCUUGACAGUGCCUGCAUGGAUAGGGCUCUGUCAGAGUUAUCAAUGCACAACCCGUGCCAUGAGGUAAUUAGGCAUAUUUCUAAAAGUUUCAAAGCUGGUCAUUGUCCUAAAUUUUCUAUACAUGAUUUAAAAACUGAAAUGGGCAAAGUCACAGGGGCGAGUAUUGUGUGGAGGGAAUCGUAAAGUGUAUGGGCAUGUACCCUACCCUAACCUCGAGGACUCUCACUUGUAAUGAUGUAGUACUAUGUUUAUAUAUCUUUUAUAGUACUGUACUGUGAAUGUGAUAUUGUGCAACUGUUUCUAAUUGGAAUAAACUAAUGUAGUCACAUGUUGAUGUAAUAUCUUCCACCUUACUAAAAA
Malania oleifera is the source of this 1111-nucleotide long non-coding RNA. RefSeq lists it as uncharacterized. The record is from RefSeq and is a predicted model, not a curated record. NCBI's taxonomy places the organism in Eukaryota, Viridiplantae, Streptophyta, Magnoliopsida, Santalales, Ximeniaceae. The transcript is spliced from 2 exons.